RNAcentral lists this ribosomal RNA (494 nucleotides) under uncultured bacterium. RNAcentral's name for it is "partial 16S ribosomal RNA". It matches the Rfam family "Bacterial small subunit ribosomal RNA", at positions 28 to 507 of the family's 1533-position model. The record is from RNAcentral.
GACGAACGCUGGCGGCGUGCUUAACACAUGCAAGUCGAACGGAAAGGCCUGCUUUCCCUUGUGGAUUGCGGGUACUCGAGUGGCGAACGGGUGAGUAACACGUGAGUGAUCUGCCCCCAACUUGGGUAUAAGCCUGGGAAACUGGGUCUAAUUCCCGAUAGGACUGCAGGGUGGUGCCUGCGGUGGAAAACGAUUUUCUAGUGGUUGGGGAUGAGCUCGCGGCCUAUCAGCUUGUUGGUGGGGUAAUGGCCUACCAAGGCGGCGACGGGUAGCCGGCCUGAGAGGGUGGACGGCCACAUUGGGACUGAGAUACGGCCCAGACUCCUACGGGAGGCAGCAGUGGGGAAUAGUGCACAAUGGGCGGAAGCCUGAUGCAGCGACGCCGCGUGGGGGAUGACGGCCUUCGGGUUGUAAACUCCUUUCGACCGCGAGGAAGCCACCUGGUUGGAAGGGUGGUGACGGUAGUGGUAGAAGAAGCACCGGCUAACUACGUG